RNAcentral lists this transfer RNA (84 nucleotides) under Gemmatimonadaceae bacterium. Its description in RNAcentral is "tRNA-Leu". It matches the Rfam family "tRNA". Rfam says of the family: Transfer RNA (tRNA) molecules are approximately 80 nucleotides in length. Their secondary structure includes four short double-helical elements and three loops (D, anti-codon, and T loops). Further hydrogen bonds mediate the characteristic L-shaped molecular structure. tRNAs have two regions of fundamental functional importance: the anti-codon, which is responsible for specific mRNA codon recognition, and the 3' end, to which the tRNAs corresponding amino acid is attached (by aminoacyl-tRNA synthetases). tRNAs cope with the degeneracy of the genetic code in two manners: having more than one tRNA (with a specific anti-codon) for a particular amino acid; and 'wobble' base-pairing, i.e. permitting non-standard base-pairing at the 3rd anti-codon position. Lineage: Bacteria; Pseudomonadati; Gemmatimonadota; Gemmatimonadia; Gemmatimonadales; Gemmatimonadaceae. The record is from RNAcentral.
GCGAGCGUGGCGGAAUUGGUUGACGCACUAGCCUUAGGAGCUAGCGGACGAAAGUCCUUGGGGGUUCGAGUCCCCCCGCUCGCA